GGGGAGAAUCUGUAAAGCUCAGGAGGGAUAGCGCCGUCUCGAUCGAGGGGUUUUAAUAUAUCAUCGAUCGAUCGAUGGCGCUAUCUAUCCUGAGUUUCAUGGCUUUUUCCU
Molecule: microRNA precursor, 111 nt
Filed under: Corchorus capsularis
Lineage: Eukaryota; Viridiplantae; Streptophyta; Magnoliopsida; Malvales; Malvaceae
Description: pre miRNA MIR390
Rfam family: MIR390 microRNA precursor family
Source: Rfam by way of RNAcentral